Molecule: ribosomal RNA, 425 nt
Filed under: uncultured bacterium
Lineage: Bacteria
Description: bacterial SSU rRNA
Rfam family: Bacterial small subunit ribosomal RNA
Source: RNAcentral
GUGGGGAAUCUUGCGCAAUGGGGGAAACCCUGACGCAGCGACGCCGCGUGGAGGAUGAAGGUCUUCGGGUUGUAAACUCCUUUUCUCAGGAAAAAUGAUGAUGGUACCUGAGGAAUAAGCCACGGCUAACUCUGUGCCAGCAGCCGCGGUAAGACAGAGGUGGCGAGCGUUGUUCGGAAUUACUGGGCUUAAAGGGCGAGUAGGCGGUAGGGCAAGUCCGAGGUGGAAUCCUAUGGCUUAACCAUAGAAUUGCCUUGGAAACUGCUUUACUUGAGUCAGUGAGGGGAGGGCGGAAUUCCUGGUGUAGCGGUGAAAUGCGUAGAUAUCAGGAGGAAGGCCAGUGGCGAAGGCGGCCCUCUGGCACUGCACUGACGCUGAGGCGCGAAAGCGUGGGGAGCAAACAGGAUUAGAUACCCUUGUAGUCC